AGUAAUGGUCGACAAUAAAAG
Molecule: non-coding RNA, 21 nt
Filed under: Caenorhabditis elegans
Lineage: Eukaryota; Metazoa; Nematoda; Chromadorea; Rhabditida; Rhabditidae
Source: RNAcentral